GCCUCGGUAGCUCAAUGGCAGAGCGUCUGUUUUGUAAACAGAAGGUUGGGAGUUCAAAUCUCCUCCGAGGCU
Molecule: transfer RNA, 72 nt
Filed under: Methanobacteriota archaeon
Lineage: Archaea; Methanobacteriati; Methanobacteriota
Also listed under: 1 other name
Description: Euryarchaeota archaeon tRNA-Thr
Rfam family: tRNA
About the family: Transfer RNA (tRNA) molecules are approximately 80 nucleotides in length. Their secondary structure includes four short double-helical elements and three loops (D, anti-codon, and T loops).
Source: RNAcentral